UCCUACCUUCAGGUCGACAUCGAAGGAAUCUAUCGAGCCGACCUCGUCUGAUGAGCUCCUCGAUCUCGUCUCGGAGCUGGAUACACUCCUCCGUGUCAUGGCCGUGGUCACGAUGAUAGAGACAGAACUUGUUAGGAUUGUGCUUCCCAAGGGGUAUGCGCAUCCUUUCCGACCUUGGCAGCUGCUCCCUGACCUUCAUCAGCACUUGAGUUUUUGAUGCGUUGAGAGGGG
This 231-nucleotide long non-coding RNA is filed under the name Elaeis guineensis (African oil palm). RNAcentral's name for it is "long non-coding RNA (EGUI_LNC042910)". The record is from RNAcentral. Lineage: Eukaryota; Viridiplantae; Streptophyta; Magnoliopsida; Arecales; Arecaceae.